GGGGGGUGCAAGCGUUGUUCGGAUUUAUUGGGCGUAAAGCGCGUGUAGGCGGUCUUAUAAGUCUGAUGUGAAAGCCCUGGGCUCAACCCAGGAAGUGCAUUGGAUACUGUAAGACUUGAAUACGGGAGAGGGCAGUGGAAUUCCUAGUGUAGGAGUGAAAUCCGUAGAUAUUAGGAGGAACACCGGUGGCGAAGGCGGCUGCCUGGACCGAUAUUGACGCUGAGACGCGAAAGCGUGGGUAGCAAACAGGAUUAGAUACCCUGGUAGUCCACGCGGUAAACGAUGGCCACUGGGUGUUGGGGAAGCGAUUCCUUGGUACCGCAGCUAACGCGUGAAGUGGCCCGCCUGGGGAGUACGGCCGCAAGGUUA
RNAcentral lists this ribosomal RNA (369 nucleotides) under uncultured bacterium. RNAcentral describes it as "bacterial SSU rRNA". It matches the Rfam family "Bacterial small subunit ribosomal RNA", at positions 527 to 896 of the family's 1533-position model. The record is from RNAcentral.